UGGGGAAUAUUGCACAAUGGGCGCAAGCCUGAUGCAGCCAUGCCGCGUGUGUGAAGAAGGCCUUCGGGUUGUAAAGCACUUUCAGCGAGGAGGAAGGGUAGUGUGUUACUAGCACAUUGCAUUGACGUUACUCGCAGAAGAAGCACCGGCUAACUCCGUGCCAGCAGCCGCGGUAAUACGGAGGGUGCAAGCGUUAAUCGGAAUUACUGGGCGUAAAGCGCACGCAGGCGGUUUGUUAAGUCAGAUGUGAAAUCCCCGCGCUUAACGUGGGAACUGCAUUUGAAACUGGCAAGCUAGAGUCUUGUAGAGGUGGGUAGAAUUCCAGGUGUAGCGGUGAAAUGCGUAGAGAUCUGGAGGAAUACCGGUGGCGAAGGCGGCCCCCUGGACAAAGACUGACGCUCAGGUGCGAAAGCGUGGGGAGCAAACA
Molecule: ribosomal RNA, 427 nt
Filed under: uncultured bacterium
Lineage: Bacteria
Description: partial 16S ribosomal RNA
Rfam family: Bacterial small subunit ribosomal RNA
Source: RNAcentral